Pan troglodytes (chimpanzee) is the source of this 117-nucleotide non-coding RNA. It matches the Rfam family "Metazoan signal recognition particle RNA". From Rfam's summary of the family: The signal recognition particle (SRP) is a universally conserved ribonucleoprotein. Lineage: Eukaryota; Metazoa; Chordata; Mammalia; Primates; Hominidae. The record is from Rfam.
GCUGGGUGUGGUGGCUCACGCCUGUAAUCCCAGCACUUUGGGAGGCUGAGGUGGGUGGAUCACCUGAGGUCAGGAGUUCGAGACCAGCCUGGCCAACAUGGUGAAACCCCAUCUCUA